AGGACGAACGCUGGCGGCGUGCUUAACACAUGCAAGUCGAACGGUGAACCACCUUCGGGUGGGGAUCAGUGGCGAACGGGUGAGUAACACGUGACCAACCUGCCCCUAACUCUGGGAUAACCCCGGGAAACCGGAGCUAAUACCGGAUACGAGACCGAGUGGCAUCACUUGGUCUGGAAAGUUUCUCGGUUAGGGAUGGGGUCGCGGCCUAUCAGCUUGUUGGUGGGGUAAUGGCCUACCAAGGCGACGACGGGUAG
This 257-nucleotide ribosomal RNA is filed under the name uncultured soil bacterium. RNAcentral's name for it is "partial 16S ribosomal RNA". It matches the Rfam family "Bacterial small subunit ribosomal RNA", at positions 26 to 286 of the family's 1533-position model. The record is from RNAcentral.